Molecule: ribosomal RNA, 301 nt
Filed under: uncultured bacterium
Lineage: Bacteria
Description: partial 16S ribosomal RNA
Rfam family: Bacterial small subunit ribosomal RNA
Source: RNAcentral
CAGUCGCCACGGUAAUACGUAGGGGGCAAGCGUUAUCCGGAAUUACUGGGUGUAAAGGGAGCGUAGACGGUUAAACAAGUCUGAAGUGAAAUGCCGGGGCUCAACCCCGGAGCUGCUUUGGGAACUGUAGAACUGGAGUGUCGGAGGGGUAAGCGGAAUUCCCAGUGUAGCGGUGAAAUGCGUAGAUAUUGGGAGGAACACCGGCGGCGAAGGCGGCUUACUGGACGACAACUGACGUUGAGGCUCGAAGGCGUGGGUAGCAAACUGGAUUAGAUACCCGAGUAGUCCCUGUCUCUUAUAC